Molecule: ribosomal RNA, 460 nt
Filed under: uncultured bacterium
Lineage: Bacteria
Description: partial 16S ribosomal RNA
Rfam family: Bacterial small subunit ribosomal RNA
Source: RNAcentral
CCUACGGGUGGCAGCAGUGAGGAAUAUUGGUCAAUGGACGAGAGUCUGAACCAGCCAAGUAGCGUGAAUGAUGACUGCCCUAUGGGUUGUAAACUUCUUUUAUAUGGGUAUAAAAUGUUCCACGUGUGGGAUUUUGUAUGUACCAUAUGAAUAAGGAUCGGCUAACUCCGUGCCAGCAGCCGCGGUAAUACGGAGGAUCCGAGCGUUAUCCGGAUUUAUUGGGUUUAAAGGGAGCGUAGGUGGAUUGUUAAGUCAGUUGUGAAAGUUUGCGGCUCAACCGUAAAAUUGCAGUUGAAACUGGCAGUCUUGAGUACAGUAGAGGUGGGCGGAAUUCGUGGUGUAGCGGUGAAAUGCUUAGAUAUCACGAAGAACUCCGAUUGCGAAGGCAGUUCACUGGACUGCAACUGACACUGAGGCUCGAAAGUGUGGGUAUCAAACAGGAUUAGAUACCCCUGUAGUC